AGAGUUUGAUCCUGGCUCAGAUUGAACGCUGGCGGCGUGCUUAACACAUGCAAGUCGAACGUGAAAGUCCUUCGGGGCGAGUAAAGUGGCGCACGGGUGAGUAACGCGUGGAUAAUCUACCCUUAAGAUGGGGAUAACGGCUGGAAACGGUCGCUAAUACCGAAUACGCUCCCGAUUUUAUCAUUGGGGGGAAAGAUGGCCUCUGCUUGCAAGCUAUCGCUUAAGGAUGAGUCCGCGUCCCAUUAGCUAGUUGGCGGGGUAACGGCCCACCAAGGCAACGAUGGGUAGCCGGUCUGAGAGGAUGACCGGCCACACUGGAACUGGAACACGGUCCAGACUCCUACGGGAGGCAGCAGUGGGGAAUAUUGCGCAAUGGGCGAAAGCCUGACGCAGCGACGCCGCGUGAGGGAUGAAGGUUCUCGGAUCGUAAACCUCUGUCAGGGGGGAAGAAACCCCCUCGUGUGAAUAAUGCGAGGGCUUGACGGUACCCCCAAAGGAAGCACCGGCUAACUCCGUGCCAGCAGCCGCGGUAAUACGGAGGGUGCAAGCGUUAAUCGGAAUCACUGGGCGUAAAGCGCACGUAGGCGGCUUGGUAAGUCAGGGGUGAAAUCCCACAGCCCAACUGUGGAACUGCCUUUGAUACUGCCAGGCUUGAGUACCGGAGAGGGUGGCGGAAUUCCAGUGUAGGAGUGAAAUCCGUAGA
Molecule: ribosomal RNA, 703 nt
Filed under: uncultured bacterium
Lineage: Bacteria
Description: bacterial SSU rRNA
Rfam family: Bacterial small subunit ribosomal RNA
Source: RNAcentral